CUCACCGGUAGAAACCGGCCAUCUACAUUUCCUGGUUGUAAGCAAACCGCAAUAUCCAGAAUUCAUAGCGAUUUCAGGACAUAGUAUUGCCCCAGUGAAGGUGUAUCCAGUUGAUCUGGAGAAAUAUGAAAAAGUCUGUUUAUAGCCAGCACUUUCAACCAGGGGAUUUUGAAACUGAACUGAAGUCUCAACGGAUGGGGAUGCCAGGUCACUAAACGUUGAAAAGUCAUGCUAUUCCAUCGAUUUACCCCUUCACUUCAAAGAGGAAGGCAUCCAUCGGCCAACAUCAGUGCAGCAGAAAAUAAAUCGAGCUGAGGCAACGUAGCUAACUAGCUAGUGAACUACAUCUGUUUAUGUAAACCAAAAUCGAGCUCACUAGCUUUAAUAUGCUUGCUGACAUUCCAGAACAAAUCAAUGUAAUUAGCCUGGCGAUGUGAUUUUUAAGUUUGCAAGCUAACGUUAGCUUUGUUAGGUUACAUUACCUGCAGCCUACCGGACCGUAUCUAACCAUUAGCUAGCUAGCUAACUAACUACCGCAGAGGCAAACGUGGCUAGGAGUUCUAUUUAGAGUCCGAUUCAAUCAACAUCUGCAGCAGCAUCAACAUCAAGCUCAGCACCAGGAACUAGUACUAAUCCUGCUGCUGAUGAUGACAACCUCUCCACCAUCUUUAAUAGUAGACCCAUUGGAUGAAAGCUUUCAACUGGGAACAAGCUCAAGCUCAACAUAAUCAGACUCGAAAAAAAGCCGGGACAGCCAAAGGAGACUUGCAGUACAAACAAAUCUUCUGCAAGAGGUGGGUGGUGAAGAAGGUGUACGAGCCCAGAACCCACUACUUCAGGGAGAGGCUUGUCCACCUGACUGUGGAGCAAAGAAAGGACCAGAGAGUUGUAUACAAGGAGCCAGAGUCACAGCUCCCCAAACUCAACAUCCCUGCCAACAUCGCCACAGCGCCAAAGCCUGCUAAACCCGCUGCCAUGACCCAACACAAGACAAGGUUCACCAGCUGAAGAACAUUCUGGAACAUUAAACCAACACAACAUCCCUAUUCAGUUAGACUGAUGUUGUAGUAUAAUAUUACUCCAGUGCUAGCCUCCCUACACUGGCUUCCUGUUAAGGCAAGGGCUGAUUUCAAGGUUUUACUGCUAACCUACAAAGCAUUACAUGGGCUUGCUCCUACCUAUCUUUCCGAUUUGGUCCUGCCGUACAUACCUACACGUACGCUACGGUGACAAGAUGCAGGCCUCCUAAUUGUUCCUAGAAUUUCUAAGCAAACGGCUGGAGGUAGGGCUUUCUCCUAUAGAGCUCCAUUUUUAUGGAAUGGUCUGCCUACCAAUGUGAGAGACGCAGACUCAGUCUCAACCUUUAAGUCUUUACUGAAGACUUAUCUCUUCAGUAGGUCCUAUGAUUAAGUAUAGUCUGGCCCAGGAGUGUGAAGGUGAACGGAAAGGCUGGAGCAACGAACCGCCCUUGCUGUCUCUGCCUUGCCGGUUCCCCUCUUUCCACUGGGAUUCUCUGCCUCUAACCCUUUUACAGGGGCUGAGUCACUGGCUUACUGGUGUUCUUCCAUGCCGUCCAUGGGAGGGGUGCGUCACUUGAGUGGGUUGAGUCACUGACGUGGUCUUCCUGUCUGGGUUGGCGCCCCCCCUUGGGUUGUGCCAUGGCGGAGAUCGUUGUGGGAUUAUACUCGGCCUUGUCUUAGGACGGUAAGUUGGUGGUUGGAGACAUCCCUCUAGUGGUGUGGGGGCUGUGCUUUGGCAAAGUGGGUGGGGUUAUAUCCUGCCUGUUUGGCCCUGUCCGGGGGUAUCAUCGGAUGGGGCCACAGUGUCUUCUGAUCCCUCCUGUCUCAGCCUCCAGUAUUUAUGCUGCAGUAGUUUAUGUGUCAGGGGGCUAGGGUCAGUCUGUUACAUCUGGAGUAUUUCUCUUGUCUUAUCCGGUGUCCUGUGUGAAUUUAAAUAUGCUCUCUCUAAUUCUCUCUUUCUGUCUUUCUCUCGGAGGACCUGAGCCCUAGGACCAUGCCUCAGGACUACCUGGUAUGAUGACUCCUUGCUGUCCCCAGUCCACCUGGCCGUGCUGCUGCUCCAGUUUCAACUGUUCUGCCUGCGGCUAUGGAACCCUGACCUGUUCACCGGACGUGCUUGUUGCACCCUCGACAACUACUAUGAUUAUUAUUAUUUGACCAUGCUGGUCAUUUAUGAACAUUUUAACAUCUUGACCAUGUUCUGUUAUAAUAUCCACCCUGCACAGCCAGAAGAGGACUGGCCACCCCUCAUAGCCUGGUUCCUCUCUAGGUUUCUUCCUAGGUUUUUGGCCUUUCUAGGGAGUUUUUCCUAGGGAGUUUUUCCUAGCCACCGUGCUUCUUUCACAUGCUUUGCUUGCUGUUUGGGGUUUUAGGCUGGGUUUCUGUACAGCACUUUGAGAUAUCAGCUGAUGUACGAAGGGCUAUAUAAAAAUAAAUUUGAUUGAUUAAUAUAGAAUACCUAGUAUGCUCACAACUGCAUUGUGGUAUAGAUAUUGCUAGCUCUUGUACAUAUGUUUCAUACAUAUGUUUAACAAGUCAGACGCGAAGGAUUUACUUCAGACGGGAUUUACCCUCAUCCACAUAAUCUGCCUUUACCAUCGGUCCUAUUAGCCAACGUUCAAUCAUUGGAUAAUAAAAUAGACAAACUAUGAUCACGUAUAUCCUACCAACGGGAUAUAAAAAAAUGUAAUAUCUUAUGUUUAACUGAGUCGUGGCUGAACGACGACAUGAAUAACAUGCAGCUGGCGGGUUUUAAGCUGUAUCGGCAGGAUAGGACAGCGGCGAUCUAUGUAUAUUUGUAAACAACAGCUGGUGCAUGAAAUCUAAUGAAGGAUAUGGCUUGUGGUGAGAUAUUGUGUAGCUAAAGGUAAUGUGUCAGCCUAUUAAUUAGGAAAAUAUAAAAAAUUGCCUAUUACUAGGCUAUUCAAAAUAAUGGACUAUAAUUGUAGAAUAACUCUGUUAGCUGCUCUGCACAAUCAAUGAACCAACAGCGUUGCCUAGACCAGUGGUUCCCAAACUGUGGACAUGCCCCCUAGGGGGGCUGCGACGGGUCAGCAAGGGCGGCACGGGGGUCCCCCACCUCCCAAAUGAAAAAAAUAAAUAAUAAUGGAACACAGUCCGGCUUUAAACUUUCUGUUGAAAGUUGUAAUAGUAGAAUGCACAAGGUGCAAAUUCGAAAUCGGGUAGCGCAUCAUCAGUUCCUCUUGUCAUUACAGUCAUUGCAUACCUUAGAGAGCUAUUUAUAACUUCAGAAAUCAACUAGCCCAUGUCAGCUAAUGUUUUCUUAUCUAGGUUUUUUAGCCCAUAGAUAUUGUUGUAAUUUUUUUGUCACUCAUUUAUGUUUAUUUAUUUUUUGUAUUUUACCCCCCUCUUUGUCCCCAAUUUUGAUCUUGUCUCCUUGCUGCAACUCCCCAACGGGCUCGGGAGGCGAAGUUCGAGUAAUGCGUCCCCCGAAACCACGCUUCUUAGCACCCGCCUGCUUCCCCUGAACCACGCUUUUUUGCACACGCCUGCUUAAUCAAGAAGCCAGCCGCACCAAUGUUUUGGAGGAAACGCCAUUCAACUGACGACCGAAGUCUGCCUGCAGGCACCCGGCCAGCCACAAAGAGUCACUAGAGCGCAAUGAGCCAAGUAAAGCGCCUCCCGGCCAAACCCUCCCCUAAACCCGGAUGACGCUGGGCCAAUUUUGCGCCGCCCUAUUGGACUCCCGAUCACAGCCGGUUGGGAUACAGCCCGAGAUCUAACCCGGGUCUGUAGUGAUGCCUCUAGUGCUGUGAUGCAGUGUCUUAGACUGCUGCACCACUCGGGAGGCCAGGCACAAAUUUUUUUGUCACUCAAAAUACACAACAAACAUUAGACAUGGCAAAAUGUAUAGUAUUGCAAGAAAAUUUGCUUUUAAACUGCAAAAUGUGCUUUGCACCACAUGACAAAUUGUGUAUAAUUGCUUGAAAUAAAAUUGCAAAAUUCUCUCCACCAACAAGAGGGUUGUGAACAGUUUGUGUCAUGAACAGUGCUUGUGCCCAUAGAAAAAGACGUGGUCUAUGCGCGCAGGGGGGGCGCGGGAUGUUCUCCAAGUUUGUGAAUCCCUGGCCUAGACCAGGGAUGGGCAACUUUGAUGGGGGUGGGAGCCACAAAAACGGAACUCAUCAUGAGGGGCCGCAGUGGCUCAUGGGGCUGCAUACCCACAUCCAUACCUCCAAUUUAAUUUAAUUUUUGUGAAAUUGGUCCGUGUGCCUACAAAAGGGAGGACUCGGGCCGCCAGUUGCCCAUCCCUUGCCUAGACCUACCUAUAAGUUCUUUCCCAAACUCAUGGAUAGAACCUUUGGAGAGUAGCAUAAGGUAACCAGCCCAUCCAGUGUGUGUAAUAAUACAGUCCACACUCAAAGAUGAUUCAUAAAAAUCAUUUAAUUUAGGAGUAUAGGCAAGACCAAUUACGUACCAAAUACAUUUAAAUCAUUAAAAAAAAAUCUGCAUUGAGUAUAAUGCAGUAGGCUAUGUAUCUUAUAAUGGCACAAUUAUUAUUUUAAUUCCGUUUUUUUUUUUCUGUCUUGGGCUCAUAUAAAUCCCUAUGCAUAUGGGUGUUUUGAAUUUAUCACCCUAGAAAGCACUUUCCAUUACGUUAUUUUAGGCUUUGAAACAACAUCCACAAUGAACAUGUUUUCCAACCUGUUAUUGAACUUCUUUCUUCAAAUUGAUCAAUGAGAGUGAGUUGAGUUUUAAAAGCAUGAUACUGUUUUGAUGACAGAUGUCAGAGUGGUUAGAGGGACAAAAUAUGUGACAUUGUGCUUAUCCUCCCACAGACUUUAGACCAUGCGUACGCACUGUUUCUAGUGGUUGAAGUAUUGCAUUGCAAGAAAGCAAAAGCCUAAUAGUAGCCUUGUGCAACUGGGGAAUAUAUGAUUACACCCUUAUUCAUAACAAAAAAAACAGGUAUAAAUAUAAUAAGAUGCAAUCAUUUGCGUUAGUGAGAACAUGCCUUCGUAAACUGACUAUCCUACCGAUCCUUGACUUUCGCGAUGUCAUUUACAAAAUAGCCUCUAACACUCAACUCAGAAAAUUGGAUGUAGUCUUUCACAAUGCCAUCUGUUUUGUCACCAAAGCCCCAUAUACUACCCACCACUGUGACCUGUAUGCUCUCGUUGGCUGGUCCUCGCUCCAGCAGGUAUAUUUCACUGGUCAUCCCCAAAGCCACCUCCUUUGGUCGCCUUUCCUUCCAGUUCUCUGCUGCCAAUGACUUGAACGAAUUGCAAAUAUCACUGAAGUUGGAGACAUAUCUCCCUUACUAACUUUAAGCAUCAGCUCUCAGAGCAGCUUACCGAUCGCUGCAGCUGUACACAGCCCAUCUGUAAAUAGCCCAUCCAACCAAAUACCUACCUCAUCCCAUAUUUGUUUUUGUUUUUCUGCUCUUUUGCACACCAGUAUUUCUACUUGCACAUCCUCAUCUGCACAUCUAUCCAGUGUUAACCGCUAAAUUGUAAUUACUUUGCCACUGUCACAUAAUCCAUGGUGCUGUUGAAAGGACGACCAAGGCGCAGCGGGAAUAUGGAUGCUCAUAUUUUCAUUUAAAAAAAAGGAGUAAAGCAUCACUGAAAAAACCAAUAAACAAAACAAUGAACAGUACUCACGAAAUGACAGUGCAGCAGGCUAAACAAAAAAAAAAAAAAGCAGUGCUCACAACAAUUCCCCACAAACACAGACAAACACACCCAACUAAUAUAGGACUUCCAAUCAAAGGCAACACCACACAGCUGCCUUCAAUUGGAAGUCCACCCCAAUUACCUCUACAUAGAAACACCCAACCUAGACAGAACAAAGAAAACCCAACUUCUUCUGCCACGCCCUGACCAACACUUGUACACCUACUCCACCUGCUGGUCAGGACGUGACAGCCACAAUGGCCUAUUUAUUGCCUUACCUCCUUACUUAAUUUGCACACACUGUAUACAGAUGUUUCUAUUGUGUUAUUGACUAUGUUUGUUUAUCCCAUGUGUAACUCUGUGUUGUUGUUUUUGUCACACUGCUUUGCUUUAUCUUGGUCAGGUCGCAGUUGUAAAUGAGAACUUGUUCUCAACUGGCCUACCUGGUUAAAUAAAGUGAAAUAAAAAAAAUAUAAAUGAAUUGAGAUGGUUAAAAAAAUAGACAUCUAUUUCCUGUUAUUUAUUUAAUUUCUAUGAUCAUUGCAGAAUAAAUUCCUCACCUUUUCUGACUGUGAGGGUUUCAUACUCGGGAAAUAGCCUAUAGGCCGACAACAAGUUAGGAUAGGCUACCAUUUGUCCCAUCUCUCAUUAGCCUAAAGUAUUUUGCUCUAUGUGAUCUGACCCAAAGCGCAGUUUAAUGGUAGAAGAGACGGUUCACCUUUUCCAUUGAUGUUUGUAUAGUAUGUCUGAAUACUGUAAUGUUACAUUUCUCAAGUAGACAAUAUAAUGAAACUUGCUCUCAUGAGGACCGCCAUAGGAAAGGAAGACCCAGAGUUACCUCUGCUGCAAAUGAUAACUUCAUUAGAGUUACCAGCCUCAGAAAUCGGCAAUUAACUGCACCUCAGAUUGCAGCCCAAUUUAAAUGCUUCACAGAGUUCAAGUAACAGACACAUCUCAACAUCAACUGUUCAGAAGAGUCUGGGUGAAUCAGGCAUUCAUGGUUGAAUUGCUGCAAAGAAAACACUACUAAAGGACACCAAUAAUAAGAAGAGACUUGCUAAAGCCAAGAAACACGAGUAAUGGACAUUAGACCGGUGAAAAUCUGUCCUUUGGUCUGAUGAGUCCAAAUUUGAGAUUUUUGGAUCCAACAGCCUUGUGUUGGUGAGACACAGUAGGUGAACUGAUAAUCUCUACAUGUGUGGUUCCCACCGUGAAACAUGGAGGAGGUGCGAUAGUGCUUUGCUGGUGGUACUGUCUGUGAUUUAUUUAGAAUUCAAGGCACACUUGACCAGAAUGGCUACCACAGCAUUCUGCAGUGAUACGCCAUCCCACCUGAUUUGUGCUUAGUGGGACUAUCAUUUGUUUUUCAACAGGACAAUGACCCAAAACACACCUCCAGGCUAUGUAAGGGCUAUUUGACCAAGAAGGGGAGUGAUGGAGUGCUGCAUCAGAUGACCUGGCCUUCACAAUCACCCGACCUCAACCCAAUUGAGAUGGUUUGGGAUGAGUUGGACUGCAGAGUGAAGGAAAAGGAGCCAACAAGUGCUCAGCAUAUGUGGGAACUUCAAGAUAGUUGGAAAAGCAGUCCAGGUGACUACCUCAUCUAGCUGAUUGAGAGAAUGCCAAGAGUGUACAAAGCUGUCAUCAAGGCAAAGGGUGACUACUUUGAAGAAUCUAAAAUAUAACAUAUUUUAAUUUGUUAAACACUUCUUUUGUUGCUACUUGAUUCCAUGUGUGCUAUUUCAUAGUUUUGAUGUCUUCACUAUUAUUCUACAGUGUAGAAAAUAGUAAAAAUAAAGAAAAACCCUUGAAUGAGUGAGUCCUAACUUUUGACUGGUACCGUAGAUCAUAACCAUUGCAGAAUACAUUCCUCUGCUUUUAUGGCCAUGAUGAGUUCCCG
This 7556-nucleotide long non-coding RNA is filed under the name Salmo salar (Atlantic salmon). RNAcentral describes it as "lncRNA (ENSSSAG00000114755.1)". Lineage: Eukaryota; Metazoa; Chordata; Actinopteri; Salmoniformes; Salmonidae. The record is from RNAcentral.